This 337-nucleotide unclassified non-coding RNA is filed under the name soil metagenome. RNAcentral's name for it is "partial contains 5.8S ribosomal RNA, internal transcribed spacer 2, and large subunit ribosomal RNA". The stretch from base 1 to 120 matches the Rfam family "5.8S ribosomal RNA", at positions 35 to 154 of the family's 154-position model. The record is from RNAcentral.
GAUGAAGAACGUAGCGAAAUGCGAUAAGUAGUGUGAAUUGCAGAAUUCAGUGAAUCAUCGAAUCUUUGAACGCACAUUGCGCCCCAUGGUAUUCUGUGGGGCAUGCCUGUUCGAGCGUCAUUUACCCCCUCAAGCUCCGCUUGGUGUUGGGCGUCUGUCCCGCUUCGCGCGCGGACUCGCCCCAAAGGUAUUGGCAGCGGUCGUGCCAGCUUCUCGCGCAGCACAUUGCGCUUCUCGAGGCACCGGUGGGCCCGCGUCCAUCAAGCUCACCCCCCCAGUUUGACCUCGGAUCAGGUAGGGAUACCCGCUGAACUUAAGCAUAUCAAUAAGCGGAGGA